RNAcentral lists this long non-coding RNA (914 nucleotides) under Sparus aurata (gilthead seabream). RNAcentral's name for it is "lncRNA (ENSSAUG00010014961.1)". The record is from RNAcentral. Lineage: Eukaryota; Metazoa; Chordata; Actinopteri; Spariformes; Sparidae.
GUUUUGAGCUUUUAUUCUUUUUAUUUUAGCUUUUUAUUUUUGACUAUGCAUUUUAUUGCAAUGUAGUGGUGUCUCCAAACUUGGUUUUGUUUUUUUGAUAUACCAUAUUUUUUUUGUUGAUUGAUUGAUUGAUUGAUUGAUUGAUUGAUUGAUUAAAAGUAGGCUCAGAAUGGCACAGAAGUGAGAGGGAGAAAAUUUUGUUUCCUGUAAGAGACGCAGUGAAGCCACAGGAAAGCUCACUGAAAACAGGUCCUGUUGGCACUGAACAAGAACUGUGAUGGCGAAAUGACUGAAACAGCUAGUUCAUGUUUGACUGAAGUUGUUGUCCCUUUAACACUUUGGCCACUAGGGGGCGUCGCAGACUAAUUUGAGCUCAGUCUGUUUCAACAGGCACCAGUGGCUGUCUUGGCUGUGCAACAGUCAUAUUCUUCAUAUCUGACAGACAGACAGCGAUCGGGACAGAGCUGUGUUCAGAGAGACCUCUCUUUUCUGGGAUCAAUCCCACACCUCAACUGCACAUCCUCCUCAAUAGCUGACAGAGUGCUGCAUGAUGCUCAAGCCUCAUCCUUUGGCAGUGCACACAUGGGACACAAGGAACAGAUGCAAGGAUGGACGUGAGGAUCCCACACACUGCCUAUUUACUAAAUAAGGUACAUAUAGCUUAAAUAAGAUGUCGUGCUAAUGCCUUUUCAUCGAUUAACUGUUGUUAUUCUGUGUGAUCAAACCAUGGAUAUGUGACUUAAACAGACUUAAACACUAAAAAUAUAAUCCAUGUGCCCAACCUUCCAGUUCUACAUAUUUCAUUAUCUGAACUGAGGGUCUAUGGUUAGAUUUGUUUAUCUUAUCUUAUUUUAGACGCUUGAGACAAAUUUGUGAUUUGUGAUGUUGGGCGAUAUGAAUUAGAUUGACUUGAC